AGUGUCUCCUCUCUUUGGAAAGCAGUCACCUGCACAGAGACAGGCGAGACGGAACUGAGAGAGAAGAGAGAAGAAAAAUGAACUUAAGAGAGUAGUGCAAGAAAAACAGAUACCGUAUAAAAAGAGACACAAGGCAAAAGCUAAAGAGAGGAAAGUAAAGGACAUCGGAGAAAGAGGGGGAGACACCAGUCCCAGCCAGGUCUGUGAGACGUCUGCACCACACAGCACUGAGCCCAGACCGCCAUGGACAACAGCUGUGGAGGAGCCGCUUCUAAUGCAUCCCAGGGUGCGGUGAGGAAGACAAGCAGAUCAUCCCAGCAGCCCUCAGCCAUGGGAGGACGCCGACCCCCCAUAAAGGUACCAGCCUGCACAAAACCCCCCUCUUACUACCCACUGGCCUUAAAGGGGAAUUGGCAUGCUCUUUUUGUGUUAUGGGGCUCGAAGGCGUCGCGCCUUCUUCCCACCACAUUCUCGCACGGAAGCGCACUACUCGCACUAAUCACACUCCAGCCCCGAGCGCUUCUGCCAAACGACACCACUCCUGCCAAUCAGCCAACCACGACACUCCAUCAAUCAGCGCGCCUCCUCCCUUGCACAAUACUUAAACCCUCCAGAAGCCCCUGUUCUUUGCCUGGUAUUGGUUGGUUGUUUGUUUGUUCGUUCACCUACCUCGCUUCAGAUUCUGUUUUCCCUCUUGCUCUUUGUUACUAACCACGGACCUCACCUUCGACUACGUCUCCCGUCUUGCCCUUUCGGAUCUGGGGGCCGACUUAUUGACCUUCAUCUUUAGACUCAUGGAACCGCCUUUUCGACCACGGCUUCAGCCUUGCCGAAUUCUGGAGUGGAAACCUCCUCUCCUGCCUUUUUCUACGACCCUCGGAACUCGGCUUGGACUUCGCCUCUUGUCUAGCCCCCUAAGGUCCCGCAUAGGGUCCAUCUUCCCUUUCCUCAGCGGGUCAAUCCUGACAGGAGGAAUCGGAGUAGCUUGUAAACCCCCCCAAUUUACAUCACAAAAUAGAGGAAAUUACCAGGUUUGCGCAGCGCCAUGUUCUGCGAUUCAGAACGAGGUGAAGUGACACUGUAAACCAGCAGGAUUGUGAAUCUGUCUCUUCUAAUCCAAGAGGAAUAUUGCUCUCGAGUUCGAAACAGUUUUGCCAACAAAUACCACUCGCUUGUUAGCUCUGCAGGCAGGUCACGCUGGACCAUUUCUGCGGUGAAAAGUCCGCUGCACAACCUGUACUUAUUAACCCGGAAAUCGCAUCACAUUAGGCAUGACAGUGACUAGUGAGCAGGAAGGGCCGCAUCACGCAGCGAUUCAUGGGAUCUCCAAUGGUAGUUUGCGACAACAUGGAGAGCUGCAGUCCUUUCACGAAGUUCACAAUUUUGCGCUGAAUUCGGAAUUGGUCAAAUUUCUCCGACCCUGUUCCGCCGAAUUCAUUGUGUUACCGAGAUGUAAUUAGCCAGUGUAAGAAAUUAGCACUGCAGUUCCCCUUCAACGGCCGGGGCACGUGAGGGCAGACCUUGCUUUCUCAGUCCUGAGGUUCACCCUCUCCUGUGUGAGGUAUUCUGCUCUCCCUUGUGCUUCUUCGUGUCCGUGUGCCCCCCUCUGUUCUUCCUCCUCUCCCAUCCUCUUCCUUUUUCAGUUCGAUUUUCCUGUCCCGUGCCGAUCCUUUCCUCGGAUCGCUUCGUCCAAAGGUCGCUGUGUUCCGCAGAAUCCUGCUGUGCUGCUGUUUUUACAGGUGGAGGACAGGAAGUCCAGCCCUGCCCCCCAAAAUGUCCGACCUACAGAACGCCCCCCCAUCUAUGAGGUAUGACACAGGUCACGUCCCCCUUGCUUGAUCUGCAAAGACCCCUCUUUAUGACGUACUUGAGUGAGGA
This is a long non-coding RNA of Lepisosteus oculatus (spotted gar), 1878 nucleotides long. The record is from Ensembl. NCBI's taxonomy places the organism in Eukaryota, Metazoa, Chordata, Actinopteri, Semionotiformes, Lepisosteidae.